AACGAACGCUGGCGGCAUGCCUAACACAUGCAAGUCGAACGAUGCCUUCGGGCAUAGUGGCGCACGGGUGCGUAACGCGUGGGAAUCUGCCUUUCGGUUCGGAAUAACUCAGGGAAACUUGAGCUAAUACCGGAUAACGUCGCAAGACCAAAGAUUUAUCACCGAAAGAUGAGCCCGCGUAGGAUUAGCUAGUUGGUGAGGUAAAGGCUCACCAAGGCGACGAUCCUUAGCUGGUCUGAGAGGAUGAUCAGCCACACUGGGACUGAGACACGGCCCAGACUCCUACGGGAGGCAGCAGUGGGGAAUAUUGGACAAUGGGCGAAAGCCUGAUCCAGCAAUGCCGCGUGAGUGAUGAAGGCCUUAGGGUUGUAAAGCUCUUUUACCCGGGAAGAUAACGACGGUACCGGGAGAAUAAGCCCCGGCUAACUCCGUG
This 433-nucleotide ribosomal RNA is filed under the name uncultured bacterium. Its description in RNAcentral is "partial 16S ribosomal RNA". It matches the Rfam family "Bacterial small subunit ribosomal RNA", at positions 29 to 507 of the family's 1533-position model. The record is from RNAcentral.